AACAAGGCCUUUGUCGAAAUGAGUCACUGCCAACCCCUUCUUCUAGAAGCGACGCAUGCUGUAGAAAUCUGUUCAUACAAAAUAAAAAAUCAACUUUUAAAAAUAGGAAAAAAAUAUUUUAAUUAUAGGCAAGGCUCACUGGAUGACUUAAAUCUAAUUACUUUUGAAUAGGGAUGUACUGCAUGUUUAUUUCAUAAAACCCAAGGGACCUUUUUGCAAAAGUGGC
Molecule: long non-coding RNA, 226 nt
Filed under: Sorghum bicolor (sorghum)
Lineage: Eukaryota; Viridiplantae; Streptophyta; Magnoliopsida; Poales; Poaceae
Description: long non-coding RNA (SBIC_LNC008288)
Source: RNAcentral